UACGGAGGGGGCUAGCGUUGUCCGGAAUUACUGGGUGUAAAGGGCGUGUAGGCGGCCCGAAAAGUCCAGCGUGAAAACGUAUGGCUCAACUGUACGCUUGCGUUGGAAACUGCCGGGCUUGAGUUCGGGAGAGGAGAGCGGAAUUCCUAGUGUAGCGGUGAAAUGCGUAGAUAUUAGGAGGAACACCGGUGGCGAAAGCGGCUCUCUGGACCGACACUGACGCUGAGGCGCGAAAGCUAGGGGAG
This 245-nucleotide ribosomal RNA is filed under the name uncultured bacterium. RNAcentral's name for it is "partial 16S ribosomal RNA". It matches the Rfam family "Bacterial small subunit ribosomal RNA", at positions 524 to 768 of the family's 1533-position model. The record is from RNAcentral.